Molecule: ribosomal RNA, 266 nt
Filed under: uncultured prokaryote
Description: partial 16S ribosomal RNA
Rfam family: Bacterial small subunit ribosomal RNA
Source: RNAcentral
UACGUAGGGUGCGAGCGUUGUCCGGAAUUAUUGGGCGUAAAGAGCUUGUAGGCGGCUUGUCGCGUCUGCUGUGAAAUGUACCGGCUCAACCGGUGCCUUGCGGCGGAUACUGCAUAGCUGGAGUACUGGAGAGGGAAGUGGAAUUCCCGGUGUAGCGGUGAAAUGCGUAGAUAUUGGGAGGAACACCGGUGGCGUAGGCGGCUUGCUGGACAGUAACUGACGCUGAGGCGCGAAAGCCAGGGGAGCAAACGGGAUUAGAUACCCGU